AGCGAACGCUGGCGGCAGGCCUAACACAUGCAAGUCGAACGAACUCUUCGGAGUUAGUGUCGUACGGGUGAGUAACACGUGGGAACGUUCCUUUUGGUUCGGAAUAACUCAGGGAAACUUGUGCUAAUACCGAAUGUGCCCUUCGGGGGAAAGAUUUAUCGCCAUUAGAGCGGCCCGCGUCUGAUUAGCUAGUUGGUGAGGUAACGGCUCACCACGGCGACGAUCAGUAGCUGGUCUGAGAGGAUGACCAGCGACACUGGGACUGAGACACGGCCCAGACUCCUACGGGAGGCAGCAGUGGGGGAUCUUGCGCAAUGGGCGAAAGCAUGACGCAGCCAUGCCGCGUGAAUGAUGAAGGUAUUAGGAUUGUAAAAUUCUUUCACCGGGGACGAUAAUGACGGUACCCGGAGAAGAAGCCCCGGCUAACUUCGUG
Molecule: ribosomal RNA, 433 nt
Filed under: uncultured bacterium
Lineage: Bacteria
Description: partial 16S ribosomal RNA
Rfam family: Bacterial small subunit ribosomal RNA
Source: RNAcentral